Molecule: ribosomal RNA, 2927 nt
Filed under: Escherichia coli
Lineage: Bacteria; Pseudomonadati; Pseudomonadota; Gammaproteobacteria; Enterobacterales; Enterobacteriaceae
Description: partial 23S ribosomal RNA
Rfam family: Bacterial large subunit ribosomal RNA
Source: RNAcentral
GGGUUGUGAGGUUAAGCGACUAAGCGUACACGGUGGAUGCCCUGGCAGUCAGAGGCGAUGAAGGACGUGCUAAUCUGCGAUAAGCGUCGGUAAGGUGAUAUGAACCGUUAUAACCGGCGAUUUCCGAAUGGGGAAACCCAGUGUGAUUCGUCACACUAUCAUUAACUGAAUCCAUAGGUUAAUGAGGCGAACCGGGGGAACUGAAACAUCUAAGUACCCCGAGGAAAAGAAAUCAACCGAGAUUCCCCCAGUAGCGGCGAGCGAACGGGGAGCAGCCCAGAGCCUGAAUCAGUGUGUGUGUUAGUGGAAGCGUCUGGAAAGGCGCGCGAUACAGGGUGACAGCCCCGUACACAAAAAUGCACAUGCUGUGAGCUCGAUGAGUAGGGCGGGACACGUGGUAUCCUGUCUGAAUAUGGGGGGACCAUCCUCCAAGGCUAAAUACUCCUGACUGACCGAUAGUGAACCAGUACCGUGAGGGAAAGGCGAAAAGAACCCCGGCGAGGGGAGUGAAAAAGAACCUGAAACCGUGUACGUACAAGCAGUGGGAGCACAGAGCAAUCUGUGUGACUGCGUACCUUUUGUAUAAUGGGUCAGCGACUUAUAUUCUGUAGCAAGGUUAACCGAAUAGGGGAGCCGAAGGGAAACCGAGUCUUAACUGGGCGUUAAGUUGCAGGGUAUAGACCCGAAACCCGGUGAUCUAGCCAUGGGCAGGUUGAAGGUUGGGUAACACUAACUGGAGGACCGAACCGACUAAUGUUGAAAAAUUAGCGGAUGACUUGUGGCUGGGGGUGAAAGGCCAAUCAAACCGGGAGAUAGCUGGUUCUCCCCGAAAGCUAUUUAGGUAGCGCCUCGUGAAUUCAUCUCCGGGGGUAGAGCACUGUUUCGGCAAGGGGGUCAUCCCGACUUACCAACCCGAUGCAAACUGCGAAUACCGGAGAAUGUUAUCACGGGAGACACACGGCGGGUGCUAACGUCCGUCGUGAAGAGGGAAACAACCCAGACCGCCAGCUAAGGUCCCAAAGUCAUGGUUAAGUGGGAAACGAUGUGGGAAGGCCCAGACAGCCAGGAUGUUGGCUUAGAAGCAGCCAUCAUUUAAAGAAAGCGUAAUAGCUCACUGGUCGAGUCGGCCUGCGCGGAAGAUGUAACGGGGCUAAACCAUGCACCGAAGCUGCGGCAGCGACGCUUAUGCGUUGUUGGGUAGGGGAGCGUUCUGUAAGCCUGCGAAGGUGUGCUGUGAGGCAUGCUGGAGGUAUCAGAAGUGCGAAUGCUGACAUAAGUAACGAUAAAGCGGGUGAAAAGCCCGCUCGCCGGAAGACCAAGGGUUCCUGUCCAACGUUAAUCGGGGCAGGGUGAGUCGACCCCUAAGGCGAGGCCGAAAGGCGUAGUCGAUGGGAAACAGGUUAAUAUUCCUGUACUUGGUGUUACUGCGAAGGGGGGACGGAGAAGGCUAUGUUGGCCGGGCGACGGUUGUCCCGGUUUAAGCGUGUAGGCUGGUUUUCCAGGCAAAUCCGGAAAAUCAAGGCUGAGGCGUGAUGACGAGGCACUACGGUGCUGAAGCAACAAAUGCCCUGCUUCCAGGAAAAGCCUCUAAGCAUCAGGUAACAUCAAAUCGUACCCCAAACCGACACAGGUGGUCAGGUAGAGAAUACCAAGGCGCUUGAGAGAACUCGGGUGAAGGAACUAGGCAAAAUGGUGCCGUAACUUCGGGAGAAGGCACGCUGAUAUGUAGGUGAAGUCCCUCGCGGAUGGAGCUGAAAUCAGUCGAAGAUACCAGCUGGCUGCAACUGUUUAUUAAAAACACAGCACUGUGCAAACACGAAAGUGGACGUAUACGGUGUGACGCCUGCCCGGUGCCGGAAGGUUAAUUGAUGGGGUUAGCGCAAGCGAAGCUCUUGAUCGAAGCCCCGGUAAACGGCGGCCGUAACUAUAACGGUCCUAAGGUAGCGAAAUUCCUUGUCGGGUAAGUUCCGACCUGCACGAAUGGCGUAAUGAUGGCCAGGCUGUCUCCACCCGAGACUCAGUGAAAUUGAACUCGCUGUGAAGAUGCAGUGUACCCGCGGCAAGACGGAAAGACCCCGUGAACCUUUACUAUAGCUUGACACUGAACAUUGAGCCUUGAUGUGUAGGAUAGGUGGGAGGCUUUGAAGUGUGGACGCCAGUCUGCAUGGAGCCGACCUUGAAAUACCACCCUUUAAUGUUUGAUGUUCUAACGUGGACCCGUAAUCCGGGUUGCGGACAGUGUCUGGUGGGUAGUUUGACUGGGGCGGUCUCCUCCUAAAGAGUAACGGAGGAGCACGAAGGUUGGCUAAUCCUGGUCGGACAUCAGGAGGUUAGUGCAAUGGCAUAAGCCAGCUUGACUGCGAGCGUGACGGCGCGAGCAGGUGCGAAAGCAGGUCAUAGUGAUCCGGUGGUUCUGAAUGGAAGGGCCAUCGCUCAACGGAUAAAAGGUACUCCGGGGAUAACAGGCUGAUACCGCCCAAGAGUUCAUAUCGACGGCGGUGUUUGGCACCUCGAUGUCGGCUCAUCACAUCCUGGGGCUGAAGUAGGUCCCAAGGGUAUGGCUGUUCGCCAUUUAAAGUGGUACGCGAGCUGGGUUUAGAACGUCGUGAGACAGUUCGGUCCCUAUCUGCCGUGGGCGCUGGAGAACUGAGGGGGGCUGCUCCUAGUACGAGAGGACCGGAGUGGACGCAUCACUGGUGUUCGGGUUGUCAUGCCAAUGGCACUGCCCGGUAGCUAAAUGCGGAAGAGAUAAGUGCUGAAAGCAUCUAAGCACGAAACUUGCCCCGAGAUGAGUUCUCCCUGACCCUUUAAGGGUCCUGAAGGAACGUUGAAGACGACGACGUUGAUAGGCCGGGUGUGUAAGCGCAGCGAUGCGUUGAGCUAACCGGUACUAAUGAACCGUGAGGCUUAACCUUACAACGCCGAAG